This 353-nucleotide unclassified non-coding RNA is filed under the name soil metagenome. RNAcentral describes it as "partial contains 5.8S ribosomal RNA, internal transcribed spacer 2, and large subunit ribosomal RNA". The stretch from base 1 to 120 matches the Rfam family "5.8S ribosomal RNA", at positions 35 to 154 of the family's 154-position model. The record is from RNAcentral.
GAUGAAGAACGUAGCGAAAUGCGAUAAGUAAUGUGAAUUGCAGAAUUCAGUGAAUCAUCGAAUCUUUGAACGCACAUUGCGCCCGCCAGUAUUCUGGCGGGCAUGCCUGUUCGAGCGUCAUCACAACCCUCAGGCCCCCGGGCCUGGCGUUGGGGAUCGGCGGAAGCCCCCUGCGGGCACAACGCCGUCCCCCAAAUACAGUGGCGGUCCCGCCGCAGCUUCCAUUGCGUAGUAGCUAACACCUCGCAACUGGAGAGCGGCGCGGCCACGCCGUAAAACACCCAACUUCUGAAUGUUGACCUCGAAUCAGGUAGGAAUACCCGCUGAACUUAAGCAUAUCAAUAAGCGGAGGA